AACGAACGCUGGCGGCAUGCCUAACACAUGCAAGUCGAACGAGACCUUCGGGUCUAGUGGCGCACGGGUGCGUAACGCGUGGGAACCUGCCCUUAGGUUCGGAAUAACUCCCUGAAAGGGGUGCUAAUAUCGGAUAAUGUCCUCGGACCAAAGAUUUAUCGCCUUUGGAUGGGCCCGCGUUGGAUUAGCUAGUUGGUAGGGUAAAAGCCUACCAAGGCGACGAUCCAUAGCUGGUCUGAGAGGAUGAUCAGCCACACUGGGACUGAGACACGGCCCAGACUCCUACGGGAGGCAGCAGUGGGGAAUAUUGGACUAUGGGCGAAAGCCUGAUCCAGCAAUGCCGCGUGAGUGAUGAAGGCCUUAGGGUUGUAAAGCUCUUUUACCCGGGAUGAUAAUGACAGUACCGGGAGAAUAAGCACCGGCUAACUCCGUG
RNAcentral lists this ribosomal RNA (433 nucleotides) under uncultured bacterium. RNAcentral's name for it is "partial 16S ribosomal RNA". It matches the Rfam family "Bacterial small subunit ribosomal RNA", at positions 29 to 507 of the family's 1533-position model. The record is from RNAcentral.